Molecule: ribosomal RNA, 1062 nt
Filed under: Triticum aestivum (bread wheat)
Lineage: Eukaryota; Viridiplantae; Streptophyta; Magnoliopsida; Poales; Poaceae
Description: partial small subunit ribosomal RNA
Source: RNAcentral
AUGGCGUCGUCGUGGGCGCUUCUGGCAGCGGUGCUGCUGGCGACCCACGGCGUGGCGGCGGUGUCUGGCGCCCGGGCGGCGGCGGACGCUACACGGCUGCCGUCGUCGGGGCCGGGGUUCCGGGAGGCGCCCGCGUUCCGGAACGGCGACGGGUGCCCGCCGCGGGGGGCGGGGGAGCGCGUGCACAUCGCCAUGACGCUGGACGCCAACUACCUGCGCGGCACCGUCGCGGCCGUCUUCUCCAUCCUGCAGCACACGGCGUGCCCGGAGGACGUGUCCUUCCACUUCCUGGCGGCGCGGCGGCGGGACGCCGACGCCGUGCGCGCCACGUUCCCGUACCUGGACCCCAGCGUGUACCUCUUCGACCCGGCCCGCGUCAGCGGCCGCAUCUCCCGCUCCGUGCGCCACGCGCUGGACCAGCCGCUCAACUACGCGCGCAUCUACCUCGCCGACACGCUGCCCCGCGCCGUGCGCCGCGUCAUCUACCUCGACUCCGACGUGGUGGUCGUGGACGACGUGCGCAAGCUCUGGUCCGUGGACCUCGACGCCGGCGGCGGCCACGUGGUGGCGGCGCCCGAGUACUGCCACACCAACUUCACCAAGUACUUCACCGACGCCUUCUGGUCGGACCCGCGGCUCAGCGCCACGUUCCGGCAGGGCCCGCAUCGGCGCCGGCGGCCGUGCUACUUCAACACGGGCGUGAUGGUGAUCGACGUGGCGCGGUGGCGCGCGGGGGGAUACUCGCGGCGGGUGGAGGAGUGGAUGGCGAUCCAGAAGGAGGAGAAGCGGAUCUACAGCCUGGGGUCGCUGCCGCCGUUCCUGCUGGUGCUCGCCGGGGAGAUCAUGCCGGUGGACCACCGGUGGAACCAGCACGGGCUCGGCGGGGACAACGCGGAGGGGAGGUGCCGGAGCCUCCACCCGGGCCCCAUCAGCCUGCUGCACUGGAGCGGGAAGGGGAAGCCGUGGCUGCGGCUCGACACCCGGAAGCCGUGCACCGUCGACUACCUCUGGGAGCCCUACGACCUCUACAAGGCCGCCGCGGCCACCGCGAUCGAGGAGUGA